UUAAGCGACUAAGCGUACACGGUGGAUGCCCUGGCAGUCAGAGGCGAUGAAGGACGUGCUAAUCUGCGAAAAGCGUCGGUAAGGUGAUAUGAACCGUUACAGCCGGCGAUGUCCGAAUGGGGAAACCCAGUGUGAUUCGUCACACUAUCGUUAACUGAAUACAUAGGUUAACGAGGCGAACCGGGGGAACUGAAACAUCUAAGUACCCCGAGGAAAAGAAAUCAACCGAGAUUCCCCCAGUAGCGGCGAGCGAACGGGGAGCAGCCCAGAGUCUGAAUCAGCUUGUGUGUUAGUGGAACGGUCUGGAAAGUCCGACGGUACAGGGUGAUAGUCCCGUACACCAAAAUGCACAGGCUGUGAACUCGAAGAGUAGGGCGGGACACGUGGUAUCCUGUCUGAAUAUGGGGGGACCAUCCUCCAAGGCUAAAUACUCCUGACUGACCGAUAGUGAACCAGUACCGUGAGGGAAAGGCGAAAAGAACCCCGGCGAGGGGAGUGAAAAAGAACCUGAAACCGUGUACGUACAAGCAGUGGGAGCACCUUCGGGUGUGACUGCGUACCUUUUGUAUAAUGGGUCAGCGACUUAUAUUCUGUAGCAAGGUUAACCGUAUAGGGGAGCCGCAGGGAAACCGAGUCUUAACUGGGCGUUAAGUUGCAGGGUAUAGACCCGAAACCCGGUGAUCUAGCCAUGGGCAGGUUGAAGGUUGGGUAACACUAACUGGAGGACCGAACCGACUAAUGUUGAAAAAUUAGCGGAUGACUUGUGGCUGGGGGUGAAAGGCCAAUCAAACCGGGAGAUAGCUGGUUCUCCCCGAAAGCUAUUUAGGUAGCGCCUCGUGAACUCAUCUUCGGGGGUAGAGCACUGUUUCGGCUAGGGGGUCAUCCCGACUUACCAACCCGAUGCAAACUACGAAUACCGAAGAAUGUUAUCACGGGAGACACACGGCGGGUGCUAACGUCCGUCGUGAAGAGGGAAACAACCCAGACCGCCAGCUAAGGUCCCAAAGUCACAGUUAAGUGGGAAACGAUGUGGGAAGGCACAGACAGCCAGGAUGUUGGCUUAGAAGCAGCCAUCAUUUAAAGAAAGCGUAAUAGCUCACUGGUCGAGUCGGCCUGCGCGGAAGAUGUAACGGGGCUAAACUGUGCACCGAAGCUGCGGCAGCGACACUAUGUGUUGUUGGGUAGGGGAGCGUUCUGUAAGCCUGCGAAGGUGGCCUGUGAGGGUUGCUGGAGGUAUCAGAAGUGCGAAUGCUGACAUAAGUAACGAUAAUGCGGGUGAAAAGCCCGCACGCCGGAAGACCAAGGGUUCCUGUCCAACGUUAAUCGGGGCAGGGUGAGUCGACCCCUAAGGCGAGGCCGAAAGGCGUAGUCGAUGGGAAACAGGUUAAUAUUCCUGUACUUGGUGUUACUGCGAAGGGGGGACGGAGAAGGCUAUGUUAGCCGGGCGACGGUUGUCCCGGUUUAAGCAUGUAGGCGGAGGUUCCAGGUAAAUCCGGUACCUUUUUAACGCUGAGGUGUGAUGACGAGGCACUACGGUGCUGAAGUAACAAAUGCCCUGCUUCCAGGAAAAGCCUCUAAGCAUCAGGUAACAUUGAAUCGUACCCCAAACCGACACAGGUGGUCAGGUAGAGAAUACCAAGGCGCUUGAGAGAACUCGGGUGAAGGAACUAGGCAAAAUGGUGCCGUAACUUCGGGAGAAGGCACGCUGAUAUGUAGGUGAAGCCCCUGCGGGUGGAGCUGAAAUCAGUCGAAGAUACCAGCUGGCUGCAACUGUUUAUUAAAAACACAGCACUGUGCAAACACGAAAGUGGACGUAUACGGUGUGACGCCUGCCCGGUGCCGGAAGGUUAAUUGAUGGGGUUAUCCGUAAGGAGAAGCUCUUGAUCGAAGCCCCGGUAAACGGCGGCCGUAACUAUAACGGUCCUAAGGUAGCGAAAUUCCUUGUCGGGUAAGUUCCGACCUGCACGAAUGGCGUAAUGAUGGCCAGGCUGUCUCCACCCGAGACUCAGUGAAAUUGAACUCGCUGUGAAGAUGCAGUGUACCCGCGGCAAGACGGAAAGACCCCGUGAACCUUUACUAUAGCUUGACACUGAACAUUGAGCCUUGAUGUGUAGGAUAGGUGGGAGGCUUUGAAGCGUGGACGCCAGUCUGCGUGGAGCCAACCUUGAAAUACCACCCUUUAAUGUUUGAUGUUCUAACGUUGGCCCCUUAUCGGGGUUGCGGACAGUGUCUGGUGGGUAGUUUGACUGGGGCGGUCUCCUCCCAAAGAGUAACGGAGGAGCACGAAGGUUAGCUAAUCCUGGUCGGACAUCAGGAGGUUAGUGCAAUGGCAUAAGCUAGCUUGACUGCGAGCGUGACGGCGCGAGCAGGUGCGAAAGCAGGUCAUAGUGAUCCGGUGGUUCUGAAUGGAAGGGCCAUCGCUCAACGGAUAAAAGGUACUCCGGGGAUAACAGGCUGAUACCGCCCAAGAGUUCAUAUCGACGGCGGUGUUUGGCACCUCGAUGUCGGCUCAUCACAUCCUGGGGCUGAAGUAGGUCCCAAGGGUAUGGCUGUUCGCCAUUUAAAGUGGUACGCGAGCUGGGUUUAGAACGUCGUGAGACAGUUCGGUCCCUAUCUGCCGUGGGCGCUGGAGAAUUGAGGGGGGCUGCUCCUAGUACGAGAGGACCGGAGUGGACGCAUCACUGGUGUUCGGGUUGUCAUGCCAAUGGCAUUGCCCGGUAGCUAAAUGCGGAAGAGAUAAGUGCUGAAAGCAUCUAAGCACGAAACUUGCCCCGAGAUGAGUUCUCCCUGAGACUUUAAGUCUCCUGAAGGAACGUUAAAGACGAUGACGUUGAUAGGUCGGGUGUGUAAGCGUAGCGAUACGUUGAGCUAACCGAUACUAAUGAACCGUGAGGCUUAACCUU
RNAcentral lists this ribosomal RNA (2903 nucleotides) under Klebsiella aerogenes MGH 78. RNAcentral describes it as "bacterial LSU rRNA". It matches the Rfam family "Bacterial large subunit ribosomal RNA". The record is from RNAcentral. Lineage: Bacteria; Pseudomonadati; Pseudomonadota; Gammaproteobacteria; Enterobacterales; Enterobacteriaceae.